AGUAAUACAUCGGAACGUGCCCAUUAGUGGGGGAUAACCCGGCGAAAGCCGGACUAAUACCGCAUACGACCUACGGGUGAAAGCAGGGGAUCGCAAGACCUUGCGCUAUUGGAGCGGCCGAUGGCAGAUUAGCUAGUUGGUGGGGUAAUAGCCUACCAAGGCGACGAUCUGUAGCUGGUCUGAGAGGACGACCAGCCACACUGGGACUGAGACACGGCCCAG
This 222-nucleotide ribosomal RNA is filed under the name uncultured bacterium. RNAcentral's name for it is "partial 16S ribosomal RNA". It matches the Rfam family "Bacterial small subunit ribosomal RNA", at positions 109 to 334 of the family's 1533-position model. The record is from RNAcentral.